UAACACGUAUCCAACCUGCCGUCUACUCUUGGACAGCCUUCUGAAAGGAAGAUUAAUACAAGAUGGCAUCAUGAGUUCACAUGUUCACAUGAUUAAAGGUAUUCCGGUAGACGAUGGGGAUGCGUUCCAUUAGAUAGUAGGCGGGGUAACGGCCCACCUAGUCUUCGAUGGAUAGGGGUUCUGAGAGGAAGGUCCCCCACAUUGGAACUGAGACACGGUCCAAACUCCUACGGGAGGCAGCAGUGAGGAAUAUUGGUCAAUGGGCGAGAGCCUGAACCAGCCAAGUAGCGUGAAGGAUGACUGCCCUAUGGGUUGUAAACUUCUUUUAUAAAGGAAUAAAGUCGGGUAUGCAUACCCGUUUGCAUGUACUUUAUGAAUAAGGAUCGGCUAACUCCGUGCCAGCAGCCGCGGUAAUACGGAGGAUCCGAGCGUUAUCCGGAUUUAUUGGGUUUAAAGGGAGCGUAGAUGGAUGUUUAAGUCAGUUGUGAAAGUUUGCGGCUCAACCGUAAAAUUGCAGUUGAUACUGGAUAUCUUGAGUGCAGUUGAGGCAGGCGGAAUUCGUGGUGUAGCGGUGAAAUGCUUAGAUAUCACGAAGAACUCCGAUUGCGAAGGCAGCCUGCUAAGCUGCAACUGACAUUGAGGCUCGAAAGUGUGGGUAUCAAACAGGAUUAGAUACCCUGGUAGUCCACACGGUAAACGAUGA
RNAcentral lists this ribosomal RNA (703 nucleotides) under uncultured bacterium. RNAcentral's name for it is "bacterial SSU rRNA". It matches the Rfam family "Bacterial small subunit ribosomal RNA", at positions 111 to 812 of the family's 1533-position model. The record is from RNAcentral.